AAUAUUCCCGUACCGGACAUGGUUGCGAUGGGGGGACGAAGAAGGCUAGGUGAGCCAGGCGUUGGUUGUCCUGGUGAAAGUGAGUAGGCUUGGAUCUUAGGUAAAUCCGGGAUCCUUUAAGGCCGAGACACGAGAUGAACUGACCACGGUCAGGAAGUCACUGAUGCCACGCUUCCAGGAAAAGCCUCUAAGCUUCAGAUCAUGUGCGACCGUACCCCAAACCGACACAGGUGGUCAGGGUGAGAAUCCCAAGGCGCUUGAGAGAACUCGGGUGAAGGAACUAGGCAAAAUGGUGCCGUAACUUCGGGAGAAGGCACGCCGGCGUAGGGUGAUGAGACUUGCUCUCUAAGCCCGAACCGGUCGAAGAUACCAGGUGGCUGCAACUGUUUAUUAAAAACACAGCACUCUGCUAACGCGCAAGC
Molecule: ribosomal RNA, 422 nt
Filed under: Halomonas sp. ALS9
Lineage: Bacteria; Pseudomonadati; Pseudomonadota; Gammaproteobacteria; Oceanospirillales; Halomonadaceae
Description: bacterial LSU rRNA
Rfam family: Bacterial large subunit ribosomal RNA
Source: RNAcentral